AGAAGAGCACAUAAAACACACACCCACAGUUCACUCGACAGUUAGAGCGAACACCUGUCUAACCACUGCCCAAGUCGAGAGAGAACAUUUCUGGCCCCAGAAACUCUCUGUGUCCAGGAGGAGACACUCCAUGGCUUUUGCUUCAUAUGUAUCAUGUGGCCUUCCAAAUGGAGUAAAGGGAUUUAUGUUGUCACCUUGCUGGCCAGAGUGUGUAUGUUUCAACACAAUAUCAUCAAUUCUGAGUGGUUAUCGUAAACAUGUUUGUCAGUUUAGCAGGUAUAAGGAAGGUAUCUCAAGGUUGCGUUAAUUGAUAUGUCUUGAACAUGCCAACACCAAUAUUUGUAUAUGUGCUCAUCUGUGUAUCUUUAGAAUUCUGUCUUCAUCUUUUACCCAUUUAUUUUUACCACAUUUCCAAAUAAUUUGGAAAACAUUGAGAUACAGUCACCAAUACAAUUCCGCUAACCUAGGCAUCACUGCUUUUAGAAACAAUAAUUCGACACAAGGCAAGCAUUGAAACUUCCCUUUCAGGACAUAAAAAGGAUCGGUGUCCAGCAAACCUAUCAACAACCGCUCUUUACACCCCAGGAAUGAGUGUGGUGUGCUGCAGAGUGGGCCUGGCCUGUGAAAGGGGUCCCAGGAAGACGUAGCGCUGUAGGAGAGCUCAUCGACAGGCCUGGGCAUAGAUAGAUCUGUGUCUUCAAAGUUUUCUCGAUGAAGACGUACCACAGGUGAUCCAUAAUAGUUAAAGGAAACUAUGGGCAAUCAUGAAUUACAAACUUUCUUUUCCCCAAAUUAACUGUGUUGAAAUUUAAAACGAGGGAUUCAUCUAGAAGCAACAGAACAAGGCUCCAAGGGCAGAGUCAUCCUGGUGUGUUAUUAUUACUCAUUAAUGCGGAGUCAGGGAGGGGCUGGCAGGUGUGUACGCGCCAGGCCUCUGGGAGUUCAGAAAGGAGGUUUUCCAUCUGUGAGACUGUCACAGGAGAGCAGACAUUCCUGAGUUUGUUGGUCCGACAGGUUUAGCCAUGUGAGGCCACUCUGCAGCAGGCUGAUCAUUCAGGCUUUAAGGGCACGAAGCUAGACCUCUAAAGGAGAGGAAAUCAGUAAAACAAACAAAAACACAGGUGAAGGCUGUGUGUCAGUCUAAGCUGACAAACGUACCAAAAAAUAAGUGUUAUUUUCUUCAUUUUUUUCUCCCCUACAAGACUGUCUUGAGAACGGGUACAAAGUAAACUCAGAAGAAGGGGCCAUUGAUGAGUCUACACUGAUUCUCAAAGUGUGGUUUCCUUUCCACAAAUGGGUAUCACUGGGGAACUUGGCAGGGAUGCAAAUUAUUGGGCUCCACCUUGGACCUAAAGCAUCAGAAAUUCAAGUAGGGGCGUGGCAGGUGAUUCUACUGCCUGCCUACCAAGGUUGAGAACCACUGCCAUUACCUAACCCGUUCUGCCACCUAGUGGAACUUUUCAGAAUAGCAUCUGGCAAUGGGUUGAAUUCACAGGGACUUCCUCAUACUUAAGGCUAGGGUCACUCUGAAUGCAUUCCAAAACUGGAGUUGCCUCCUACUUUAUUUCCAGUUAUUAUAGGGCAUGUGAUGGCAAGACACCCACAGGCAGUCUGCAUACACUCAUGCUUACUGUUUUAGAAAUGCUUUUAAUUUGUACUAAAAUUGCUCUUACACACUGGAAUAUUACGUAGCUAUUAAAGACUGCUAUGAGGACUAGUAACAUGGGAAAAUGCAGAAACAUCAGUGGGAAAGAGGUUUUAAAGUGGCACACAGCAUAUUUCAAAUGAAAUGGUCUAACUAUGCAUAGGGACAAAAUGAACUACACCAAAGAGGGUAAUAGUGGUUCUUUCUUGGGGAUGAGAUUAUAGGUAAACAUAUUCCAUGUAUUGUUUGUAUUUUCUGAGUUUUCUACAAUGAGUAAAAAUUAUUUUUAAGAAUAAUACAUUUUAGUUAUUUAAUACAGCUGCAGGCAUCAUUUGGCUGAAAUUCCUUCUCUCAGGAAAUAUGGUGUCCCUAUUCUGUGCUGGGCUUUGUGCUAGCGGCUGGGGAUACAGAGAUGAGCUGUGUAUGGUUCUUGCUUCUGGGAGCCCAUGGUUCUCUAGGGGUAGUGCACACACAAAAACCCAAGAAGGAAGCACAAAGAAGGGAGAUGUUCUACUUACAGGUCGCAACCAAGGUCUCCCAGAGCAAGUCACUCUCCAUGAAGUUCCCAAACUAAGGGGAUUGUAUUGCUACUCAUGGGAGUCUUCAUCAAUAUAGGAACAUGGAAGACACUACCAGAAUUUGAAGACAAGGAAAAAAGGACCAGAUUCAACAAAGGAUGAGGACAGAGGCAGGAAGUCCCAGAAAGCAAGCUGCCUUAUUUUUAAAUGCCACACAAAAACAGCAGAAGAGGUGGCUCCGUGAAGGCUGAAAAAUCCUUCCUGAAUGUAAUCUCAUUCCAAAAAGUCAGGAAAAAAUAAUUUUACAUAAAGUAAACAACAAAAGCAUUAAGGCCAAAUUUCAUAUAAAGUUAUGUUUAAAAAAAGAAGAGGACUAAGAGGGAGCAGAAUGAGAGAGAGGCUGUGAAAGACACCAAAUUAAAACAACAAUGAGACACCGCCUCGCACCCAUGAGGAUGGCUAUUCUCAGAGAGACAAGAAAGUGUUGGCAAGCGUGGCCGGUGGGAAUGUGAGCUGGUACAGCUUCCAUGGAAAACACGUGGGUGAUUUCUCAACAAGUUAAACAUAGAAUUGCCACAUGACUCAGCAAGUCCAGUCCUAGGUAUAUAUCCAAAAUAAUUGAAAACAGAGACUCACACGGAUACUUGUUUGUUCACAGCAGCAUUAUUUACAAGGUGGAAACAACCCACAUAUCCAUCAGCAGAGCAGUGUAUAACAAAAUGUGGUAUAUUCAUAUGCAAUGUGAUAUUAUUCAACCACAAAAUGCAGUUCUGGUAUAUGCUAGAAUAUGGAUGAACUGCAGAACAUGCUAGGGAAUAGAACCCAGACACAAAAGACACACUGGAUGAUUCUAUUGUGUGAAAUAUCUACAAUAGGCAAAUUCAUAGAGACAGAAAGUAAAUUAGAGGUUACCAGGGUUUGGGGGGAGGACAGGAUGGGGAGUUAUUGCUUAGUGGAUACAGAGUUUUUGCUCAGGGUGAUGGAAAAUUUUGGAAAUAGACAGUGGUGGUGGUUGCACAACAUUGUGAAUUUCAUUAAUGCCACCCAGGUGUACACUUUAAAGUGGUUUAAAUGGCAAAUUUUAUCUAGUACGUACUUUACCACAUUAAAAAGCUGUACAGAAAAGUAAGUCAGCAUCACAUAUUGCCAAGCUGGCUUUAGAGCUCAGCAAUAAAGACAUUUAAUUCUUUUAUAAAUUAUUUUAAAUGCUUUGUAAACAAUGAUCUUGGCAACAUAAAAGAGAUGUCAAAAAAUCACAGGCAUUGACAUCAAAAGUGAUCUUGACUUCAAAAGCGAUUUAGAAGAACUGAACGUAGAAUAUGCAAAAGUUUUAGGAAUAUCUUAACCAACGUAUUUUACUGUUGGCAAAUGGAUAAACAAAUGGAGGUUUAGCUACACAGUGGAAUACUACACAACAAUAAAAAGGAAAAACCAACAACACAUACAAAUAACACAGAUGCACUUGAAAAUUAUUCUGCUGAGUGAAUUACGUCAUACACAAAAGAAUGCAGACUACAUGAGUCUAUUUAUACAUACUUCUCCCUAUAAAACUAACCUCUAGUGACAGAUCAGUGGUUGUCUGGGGUUGGAAGUGGAGGGAAGGUUGGAUUACAAGCGCCAGAAGGAACCUUCGGUGAUGCAAAUGUUCAUUAUCUUGACUAUCGUGAAGGUUUCCCAGAUGUAUACAUACGUCAAAAGUCAUCAAAUGGACACUUUCAAUACAUGCAGCUUAUUUAUGCAAAAUUAUACCUCAUUAAAAGUGUAAAAAAAAUGCU
This is a long non-coding RNA of Phyllostomus discolor (pale spear-nosed bat), 3938 nucleotides long. RefSeq lists it as uncharacterized. NCBI's taxonomy places the organism in Eukaryota, Metazoa, Chordata, Mammalia, Chiroptera, Phyllostomidae. The record is from RefSeq and is a predicted model, not a curated record. The transcript has 2 exons.